GGGCGUGUAGCUCAGGGGUAGAGCAUCUGCCUUUUAAGCAGAGGGUCGUAGGUUCGAGCCCUACCACGCUCA
This 72-nucleotide transfer RNA is filed under the name Ignavibacteria bacterium. RNAcentral describes it as "tRNA-Lys". It matches the Rfam family "tRNA". Rfam says of the family: Transfer RNA (tRNA) molecules are approximately 80 nucleotides in length. Their secondary structure includes four short double-helical elements and three loops (D, anti-codon, and T loops). Further hydrogen bonds mediate the characteristic L-shaped molecular structure. tRNAs have two regions of fundamental functional importance: the anti-codon, which is responsible for specific mRNA codon recognition, and the 3' end, to which the tRNAs corresponding amino acid is attached (by aminoacyl-tRNA synthetases). tRNAs cope with the degeneracy of the genetic code in two manners: having more than one tRNA (with a specific anti-codon) for a particular amino acid; and 'wobble' base-pairing, i.e. permitting non-standard base-pairing at the 3rd anti-codon position. The record is from RNAcentral. Lineage: Bacteria; Pseudomonadati; Ignavibacteriota; Ignavibacteria.